Molecule: long non-coding RNA, 1100 nt
Organism: Papaver somniferum (opium poppy)
Lineage: Eukaryota; Viridiplantae; Streptophyta; Magnoliopsida; Ranunculales; Papaveraceae
Exons: 4
Source: RefSeq, a predicted model, not a curated record
UGAAGGAGAGCUACUCAUUCAUGGUACCUUUCAGGUCCAAUUCUAUCCUAUAUAAAUGUACAACCAGGACAGAAUGAUCUCCCACAAGUAAGUCGAUUUUUCCACACUUACUACCCUUGUAAAUGAAUUCAUGAUCAUGUGAGAGGUAGACCACAUGUUUAAGGCAGGCGGGAAAUAAACAUCUAAGAAUUUGACUUGUUUGGUAAUAGAAGUUUAAAUGGUAGGUAUAACAUUAUAAGACUGAAUGAGUUGGGAACCACCAUUAUGUUGUGCAUUUUGUAACUGGGUAUUGCUUUCUGUAAUUGGGUGCUGCUGUAAAUGCAGGAAGAAGUGUGGACAUAGCAACUGGGUAUUGCUUUUUGUACUUUUUCAAUAAAUUUUGCCAUCUAUUUCCAUUUGUGGUCUGUGUAGGUUUUCUGAUAUUCUUUAUGAUUAUGUUCAAACUGGUUUUCUUAUUUGCUUGUUUGAACUGCAGUUGAGGCCAAAGAAAAAGAUCAAGCAGAUGCAAAUCAUGCAAUCCUGAAAAUUUUGGUGGGCGCAAAGCCGAAGAAUUCGUUUUCUAGCUUCUCAAUUGGUGUAAAAGAUAAUCCUUUGAAGCAACCCAGGGCACAACAGAAAGAAUAUGAUCAGACUGACUUGCAAAUCUUCAGGAGAAGAAAAAGGCAACUUUAUGUUUGGUGGUGCUAGACUAAACAAAAGUGGAAAGAUCAGAACAAGAAGCUAUAGUAAAGGUGGCAUUAUAAGGAAAUCAGAAGACAAAGUUGGAUAAGCGUAAUACAAUUUGAGUGAACAAGUUGUAGGUAAUUUCCUAAAUUCUUGUAGAAAAUGUAUCCAAUGCAUAUGCAUGAUGAAGUCCGGUGACAUUGAUUGAACAAGAAAAUCUAAAUAUGCUCAACCUUGAUCCUAAAUUCUAGAGACAGACCUGUUAUUCAUGGUUUGUUUUGUUAAAAUUAAAAUUCAGAUCAAAGAAAUAGAAUUGAUUGAUUGUAUGGAUGGAUGGAUUUGUAUGUGAUAAUAGAAUUUUGAUCGAAUAAGGUUUCAUAUUUGAUUGGGAAUGGAGUGGCUGUAUAUACUUGUAUUCUGGUGCCGGAAAUAAAAUG